GGAGGAUCGUGGAGCUCCACGGCCAGAUCGACAGCUGCGGCUUCUCCUGAAGGACGCGGGCGCGGGUAGGUGUCGGGCGGCUGCGCUCCCGGGAGGGGCUCGCGCCGCCCCGCCUGGGAGUGCACGGCCGGGCGGAGGGGGAACGGGGUGGGGGGCAGACACAGGGUCGCGCUUUUACGUUGGCAAUCAGAGGAAAGCAGUUAGUACGUUGUUGUGAAACGUGACGAUCAUUUGUAGUAAAGCAGUUGCAGGCAGGCGGGGCCUGGGGUGAAAGCGUAGGCCGUCGGGCGAACGAAGGACGAGGGGGCCANGGGGGGCGGGGGCUGCGCGCCGGGGAGGGGGAAAGGGGUGGGAGGCAGGCCCCGAGGGUCGGGCUUGUAGGUUGGUGAAGUGAUUUGGCGUUCUUAAAAAUGACACGUGAGGGUUAUUGGCAGCAAGUAGAACAAGAAGAGGUGUAGGGCUGCCUACUGGCUGGGGGCGGGGGGCGGGAACCAAGGAAACCCUAGGCCACAAAGCAAACUACGGGGGAGGAGAGGAGAAUUUUAAAGUGUGAAACGGAAGACCAGUACUGAAUAUUUCAAAAUUUUGCCGGGAGUGUGGAGCGUUUCGCUUGACCCUUUUCUGCGAGAAAAGGCAUUCUGCAUGCGCAAUUUCACUGUUUAUCCCGGGACAGUGGACUCUUACAGGUGUCAUAGAGAAAGCUGGACGCUCGUCGAAGCGGUAAGGAUGGAUCUUUUUUUUUUUUUUUUUUUAAUUUUUUUUUUCAACAUUUAUUUAUUUUUGGGACAGAGAGAGACAGAGCAUGAACGGGGAAGGGGCAGAGAGAGAGGGAGACACAGAAUCGGAAACAGGCUCCAGGCUCUGAGCCAUCAGCCCAGAGCCUGACGCGGGGCUCGGACUCACGGACCGCGAGAUCGUGACCUGGCUGAAGUCGGACGCUUAACCGACUGCGCCACCCAGGCGCCCCCGGACUUUUUAAAGAUGGGAUUGUGCCGGGGGAAAGGCACUGAAGGGUAAAAAGAGGGCUUUGGUCCGUGUGACGAGGCCAUCUGGAUUUGCUAAUUGGAGCGUAUUCAGAGAAGCAAACUCUCAUCUUUGUGACGGGCGCACAGGUGCCAGCUGAACCUUUCGGGCACCCUACCUCCCUACACCCCUGCGGAGAAUGGAGGGCAAAGAGAUGGCUUUCCCGUCCUUGAGGAGACAGUUUUGAGUAGUAGAUUUGCAUUUCAGAGCACGCGGAGAGCCUUUAUAAGUGCAAACCUUCCAUAAGGUAGCUACUCUAAGAGGGGGUCUUAGUGCUUCUCUGCCUAUCAGUAGGUUUUGGCUGGAACAAACAGUAAAUUUUCCCAGCAACUUUGAGCUUCCCCCCACCCCUCGCAGGCACUUGAGGGAGGGCUGGGAUCACAGCCUUAAGAUGGGGAAGCCAUGCUAGAGUUUGGCCAGAUCUCUGAGUGCCAGACCUUGAACAGAGUGGUUGUCGAUCGAGAGCUCUACGAUUCUCACAGGCAACGUCUUGAUAAUAAAUUUCUCCCAAUUGUCCAAUAGGUUCACCGUCAGACUCUGGUUGACCGGUCCGCUGACGCCCUGGAAAAGCUGAAACCUGAGAACCUGUUGUUCUCACUUCUUUGUUUUUCUGUAGACGUCGUUUCUACGUAUACUGUUAAAUCCGCAUGUUAGUCUGUGUGGUGACCACUGUGUGGUUGUACAUUGCCAAAUGUAUUUAGUUCUGCGAAGAACUUUUACUGGGGAAAGGUUCUCAAAGCAGUUUGAGUCUAGAUUGUAAACUGAUGAGGUGGUCAUGUUUUUAUGCUUGGAAUUUCUCAAUGUUUUACAUUUUUCUGUUUCUGGGCAUUUGACUAUCUCUCAUGUGACCUAAUCACUGCUGGAAAGUCUGGGCCGAGGAAGACACCGUGUCGGUUGUCAAAGAGCGGAGUUGCUGAAGGAGUUGCGCCUGCUUCGCUGGAAAGUGCCACCAGAAAAGGGAUGGGAAGUGGUGGUGACAAGUUCAGAACUUGUCAUUUCUCUGUGACACCAACAAGGCUUCCCUCUGAAAUUAAGUCGCAGUAUUUGGCGCAUGUAACGUGAACUCUUGGGAGAGCUUGGACAACCCGGCAGAGUCUGAUUUGUGGUUGUGUUCUUACAUUUUGUUUGUGGUCUGGCUUAAGGUUCAGCUUCACGGAUAGCUCUCGGUAGUGCAUUUCCGGCUCUCUGAGGCCUGGAAAGAGGGAUGUGCCUUAAUGGUCCCAGGAAGGAGCUGUGGACUUAAACUGACCAGGGCCAGCACCAUUUCAUGGGCUGUUAAUUGUCUGGUUACGCUCAUUUGAAUAGCACACACACCCCCACCCCCACCCCCGUCGAUUUGAGGUUGAAACAACGUAUGUAAUAAGCAUCUGUAAGUUUGCCCAAAUAAACCAAAGCCCUGCAACUUUGCCAG
This 2434-nucleotide long non-coding RNA is filed under the name Lynx pardinus (Iberian lynx). The record is from RNAcentral. Lineage: Eukaryota; Metazoa; Chordata; Mammalia; Carnivora; Felidae.